This 490-nucleotide ribosomal RNA is filed under the name uncultured bacterium. Its description in RNAcentral is "partial 16S ribosomal RNA". It matches the Rfam family "Bacterial small subunit ribosomal RNA", at positions 29 to 507 of the family's 1533-position model. The record is from RNAcentral.
AGUGAACGCUGGCGGUAGGCCUAACACAUGCAAGUCGAACGGCAGCACAGGAGAGCUUGCUCUCUGGGUGGCGAGUGGCGGACGGGUGAGGAAUACAUCGGAAUCUGCCCAGUCGUGGGGGAUAACGUAGGGAAACUUACGCUAAUACCGCAUACGACCUUCGGGGGAAAGAGGGGGAGCGCAAGACCCCUCGCGAUUGGAUAAGCCGAGGUGGGAUUAGCUAGUUGGCGGGGUAAUGGCCCACCAAGGCGACGAUCCGUAGCUGGUCUGAGAGGAUGAUCAGCCACACUGGAACUGAGACACGGUCCAGACUCCUACGGGAGGCAGCAGUGGGGAAUAUUGGACAAUGGGCGCAAGCCUGAUCCAGCCAUACCGCGUGGGUGAAGAAGGCCUUCGGGUUGUAAAGCCCUUUUGUUGGGAAAGAAAUCUUUCAGGCUAAUACCCUGGGAGGAUGACGGUACCCAAAGAAUAAGCACCGGCUAACUUCGUG